RNAcentral lists this long non-coding RNA (927 nucleotides) under Nicotiana tabacum (common tobacco). RNAcentral's name for it is "long non-coding RNA (NTAB_LNC007229)". Lineage: Eukaryota; Viridiplantae; Streptophyta; Magnoliopsida; Solanales; Solanaceae. The record is from RNAcentral.
AGCUUAUUGUGACAUUGAUAGCCCUUGCAAGGGUUUGCAAGUAAGUUCAUCUGUAGUUUAAAAUUUUGACACACUCAUUAAAAAGGGUUAUUUAAUAAUAUUAAUAUUGAAGUAUAUUUGACUAAAUUACCCUUACAUUUUCCUUAAAACAAGUGAUUAAUAAUUAAGAUAAGUGAGACUUGCUUAGUUGGUAAAGUACCUUUACCCGCGAGCGUCAGGUCCUGGGUUCGAGUCACGCUGGAGGAAAAGUGUGGAAACACUACAAAAAGUAGCCUAGUGCACUAAGCUCCCGCUAUCCGCGGGGUCCGGGGAAGUGUCUGACCACAAAGGGCUUAUUGUACGCAGCCUUGCCCUUUAUUUCUGCAAGAGACUGUUUCCACGGGUAGAACUAUGUGAUCUCCUGAUCACAAGGUAUCAACUUUACCAAAUGACCUCCAACUAUAGAUCCUCCUAAAUUGGGAGGGAAAAAGUGAUUAAUAAUUGUACGUUUCUUUUCUUUUUCAAAUUAUUUUUCUAUAUAUGUAUGUAAUGAUGCAUUAUGUUAAUUAAUUUCAGGUGAUUAAGCUGUCCAGGGAGGAAGAGUAAAAAUAAAGAAACUUGAUAUUUAAUUCCAGAUCUUGUAUCAGAUGAUUUGCUGUUAAUAUUUCUGUUGAAUAGUCUUUAAACUAUGGUUUAGUCUACCAUGUUUUAAGACAUUGUAAUUUCUAGGGGUAAACUUGUAAUUUUCUGUUUCAAGCAAUAGUUUGGCAUAUCUGUCAAAUUCUUAGCAAUAAUUUUCUGUUUCAAGCUAUGUUCUUGUACUCAUUUCGCAGCCCAAUGUUCUCUACUUUUCUGUAUUAUCUUCUUUAUUUUUUGAUUUCUCUAAUUUCUUAUUUCAAGAUAAAAUUAACGACAAUUUGUUAGAAUAAGAAAGAUAGGUUACAAAUC